Molecule: ribosomal RNA, 366 nt
Filed under: uncultured bacterium
Lineage: Bacteria
Description: bacterial SSU rRNA
Rfam family: Bacterial small subunit ribosomal RNA
Source: RNAcentral
GACGAACGCUGGCGGCGUGCCUAACACAUGCAAGUCGAACGGGACCAGGGGCAACUCUGGUUCAGUGGCGGACGGGUGCGUAACACGUGAGGAACAUGACCUUGGCGGGGGAGUAGCCGGCCCAACGGCCGGGUAAUACCGCGUACGACCUUUCGGGACAUCCCUGGAUGGUGAAAGCAGCAAUGCGCCGAUGGAGUGCCUCGCGGCCUAUCAGCUAGUUGGUGAGGUAACGGCUCACCAAGGCGACGACGGGUAGCUGGUCUGAGAGGAUGGCCAGCCACAUUGGGACUGAGACACGGCCCAGACUCCUACGGGAGGCAGCAGUGGGGAAUAUUGCGCAAUGGACGAAAGUCUGACGCAGCGACG